GGAGGGGGCGAGCGUUGUUCGGAAUUACUGGGCGUAAAGGGCGCGUAGGCGGCGCGACACGUCAGGGGUGAAAGGCCCGGGCUCAACCUGGGAAUUGCCUUUGAAACUGUUGUGCUAGAGACCGGGAGAGGAUGGCGGAAUUCCCAGUGUAGAGGUGAAAUUCGUAGAUAUUGGGAAGAACACCGGUGGCGAAGGCGGCCAUCUGGACCGGAUCUGACGCUGAGGCGCGAAAGCGUGGGGAGCAAACAGGAUUAGAUACCCUGGGUAGUCCACGCCGUAAACGAUGUGUGCUAGCCGUUGGGGAGCUUAGCUUUUCAGUGGCGUAAGCUAACGCGUUAAGCACACCGCCUGGGGAGUACGGUCGCAAGAUUA
This 372-nucleotide ribosomal RNA is filed under the name uncultured organism. RNAcentral describes it as "partial 16S ribosomal RNA". It matches the Rfam family "Bacterial small subunit ribosomal RNA", at positions 527 to 896 of the family's 1533-position model. The record is from RNAcentral.